AUGGCCAAGGUUGCACGCAAAGACGACAGUAAGCUCCAGGACGACGUCCUCCUCGACAUCUUCCAGCGCGUGGUUGGUUUCCUUGACAUCAUCCGCUGCGCCGCGACGUGCAAACAGUGGUGCCGCCUCGUCACUGACCGGACCUUCCUCCGGCGUAUAGGCCUCUGGCCGGAGAACGCCAAUCGCCCGUCUAUCCUAGUUGGAAUCUUCUCCUCCAACGCGCCACCGUUCCACGACAUCCCCAACGACCUCGAGCCUUUGAACAGGGAACCACAAUGCCCUCCGCAGUUCUCGGGCCUCGAGAGUGGCACCGCGCAUUUCGUCUUCGACUCCGUUGUUGCAAACGACAAUGGGCUUUUCAACCACGCAAGACCGAUGGCGUCACGCGGCGGCCUCCUCCUCUUCGAAGUCUUCCUGCCUCAACCCGUCGGUGACUACCGUGAGCUUCAUCUCGCCGUACGCCGCCCUAUGAUUGAUAGAUGGGACACACGUCUUCUUCACCACCCCCCUUCAACAUGA
Molecule: ribosomal RNA, 519 nt
Filed under: Triticum aestivum (bread wheat)
Lineage: Eukaryota; Viridiplantae; Streptophyta; Magnoliopsida; Poales; Poaceae
Description: partial small subunit ribosomal RNA
Source: RNAcentral